Molecule: ribosomal RNA, 448 nt
Filed under: Pelagomonas calceolata
Lineage: Eukaryota; Pelagophyceae; Pelagomonadales; Pelagomonadaceae
Description: partial Bacterial large subunit ribosomal RNA
Rfam family: Bacterial large subunit ribosomal RNA
Source: RNAcentral
AAGUGCCUGUACCAUAAACCGACACAGGUGGGUAAGUAGAGAAUACUAAGGGGCGCGAGAUAACUCUCUCUAAGGAACUCGGCAAAAUAACCCCGUAACUUUGGGAGAAGGGGUGCCUAUUUAGGCUGCAAUAACAAGGUCCAAGCGACUGUUUACCAAAAACACAGGUCUCCGCAAAGUCGCAAGACAAUGUAUGGGGGCUGACGCCUGCCCAGUGCCGGAAGGUUAAGGAAGUUGGUUAGCUUUAUGCGACGCUAGCGACUGAAGCCCCGGUGAACGGCGGCCGUAACAAUAACGGUCCUAAGGUAGCGAAAUUCCUUGUCGGGUAAGUUCCGACCUGCACGAAUGGCGUAACGAUGGGGGCGCUGUCUCUACCCGAGACUCAGUGAAAUUGAAAUCGCAGUGAAGAUGCUGUGUACCCGCACCUAGACGGAAAGACCCCGUGAAC